This 460-nucleotide ribosomal RNA is filed under the name uncultured bacterium. Its description in RNAcentral is "partial 16S ribosomal RNA". It matches the Rfam family "Bacterial small subunit ribosomal RNA", at positions 338 to 795 of the family's 1533-position model. The record is from RNAcentral.
CCUACGGGUGGCUGCAGUGAGGAAUAUUGGUCAAUGGACGAGAGUCUGAACCAGCCAAGUAGCGUGAAGGAUGACUGCCCUAUGGGUUGUAAACUUCUUUUAUAUGGGAAUAAACUGUUCCACGUGUGGGCUUUUGUAUGUACCAUAUGAAUAAGGAUCGGCUAACUCCGUGCCAGCAGCCGCGGUAAUACGGAGGAUCCGAGCGUUAUCCGGAUUGAUUGGGUUUAAAGGGAGCGUAGGUGGAUUGUUAAGUCAGUUGUGAAAGUUUGCGGCUCAACCGUAAAAUUGCAGUUGAAACUGGCAGGCUUGAGUGGGCGAGAGGUAGGCGGAAUGCGUGGUGUAGCGGUGAAAUGCAUAGAUAUCACGCAGAACUCCGAUUGCGAAGGCAGCAUACCGGAGAACGACUGACGCUGAGGCACGAAAGCGUGGGUAUCGAACAGGAUUAGAUACCCCUGUAGUC